GACGAACGCUGGCGGCGUGCUUAACACAUGCAAGUCGAACGGAAAGGCCCUGCUUUUGUGGGGUGCUCGAGUGGCGAACGGGUGAGUAACACGUGAGUAACCUGCCCUUGACUUUGGGAUAACUUCAGGAAACUGGGGCUAAUACCGGAUAGGAGCUCCUGCUGCAUGGUGGGGGUUGGAAAGUUUCGGCGGUUGGGGAUGGACUCGCGGCUUAUCAGCUUGUUGGUGGGGUAGUGGCUUACCAAGGCUUUGACGGGUAGCCGGCCUGAGAGGGUGACCGGCCACAUUGGGACUGAGAUACGGGCCAGACUCCUACGGGAGGAAGCAGUGGGAAAUAUUGCACAAUGGGCGGAAGCCUGAUGCAGCGACGCCGCGUGCGGGAUGACGGCCUUCGGGUUGUAAACCGCUUUCGCCUGUGACGAAGCGUGAGUGACGGUAAUGGAUAAAGAAGCACCGGCUAACUACGUG
RNAcentral lists this ribosomal RNA (468 nucleotides) under uncultured bacterium. RNAcentral describes it as "partial 16S ribosomal RNA". It matches the Rfam family "Bacterial small subunit ribosomal RNA", at positions 28 to 507 of the family's 1533-position model. The record is from RNAcentral.